This 253-nucleotide ribosomal RNA is filed under the name uncultured bacterium. Its description in RNAcentral is "partial 16S ribosomal RNA". It matches the Rfam family "Bacterial small subunit ribosomal RNA", at positions 524 to 776 of the family's 1533-position model. The record is from RNAcentral.
UACAGAGGGUGCGAGCGUUAAUCGGAAUUACUGGGCGUAAAGCGCACGUAGUCGGCUUUGCAAGUCGGGUGUGAAAUCCCCGGGCUCAACCUGGGAACUGCAUCCGAGACUGCAUUGCUAGAGUAUGGGAGAGGGAAGCGGAAUUUCUGGUGUAGCGGUGAAAUGCGUAGAUAUCUGGAGGAACACCGGUGGCGAAGGCGGCAUCCUGGACCAAUAUUGACGCUGAGGAGCGAAAGCUAGGGGAGCAAACGGG